Molecule: transfer RNA, 75 nt
Filed under: Pseudoduganella armeniaca
Lineage: Bacteria; Pseudomonadati; Pseudomonadota; Betaproteobacteria; Burkholderiales; Oxalobacteraceae
Description: Massilia armeniaca tRNA-Phe
Rfam family: tRNA
About the family: Transfer RNA (tRNA) molecules are approximately 80 nucleotides in length. Their secondary structure includes four short double-helical elements and three loops (D, anti-codon, and T loops).
Source: RNAcentral
GGCCUGGUAGCUCAGUUGGUAGAGCAGAGGAUUGAAAAUCCUUGUGUCGGUGGUUCGAUUCCGCCCGGGCCACCA